RNAcentral lists this long non-coding RNA (570 nucleotides) under Anas platyrhynchos platyrhynchos (common mallard). RNAcentral's name for it is "lncRNA (ENSAPLG00000026379.1)". Lineage: Eukaryota; Metazoa; Chordata; Aves; Anseriformes; Anatidae. The record is from RNAcentral.
UCCGGGUCCGGGGUCCGGGCGCGGCGCUGACGGCUGCCCGCAGGCUCCUGGGUGCAGCUGCGGAGCGGCCCGGGGGGGCGCCGACCCCGCGCCCUCCUCGUGCCACGCCGACGUGGAGCGGCUGCUGCUGGAGGCGCAGCUGGAGCCCGACGGCAGCGACGGGGCCCCCCCGGGCCGCCCGCAGCCCCUGCCGGGGACGGAGCCGGCCGCCCGCGCCCAGCGGGACGCACCGGAGGACACCGAGCGGACGGGGCGACGCCUGCCCGCAGCCCUCGGCCGGGGCUGUGCCCGCUGCCCCGAGCAGCUGCCCGCGAGGGACUUUGCCUUCGUGUGCUCCCCGCAGCCGGUGCUGUGGAGCCUGCCGGGAGGGGCGGUGGGCAGGAAGAAGAGGCUGUUCAGUUCCGAGCUGCUGCUGCUCUUCAUCCCCUCGCUGCUGCUCAGCCACGUGCUGACGCUGGGACUGGGGUGAGUCUGCCAGGGCCAGAACCGACCCCCGGGUGCUGGCGGGGCGCAGCGCUGCUCUGCUGCUGGGGCCUCUGGCUGCCCUGGCAGGAGGCUGUCGCCCUGGGA